UCCUACACGUAACCUGCGACUCGAGCCUCUGUGGCUGCUGGGAACAGCUGCAGUACAGCCUGGACUUACAUGGACAGGGAAAAACAAGCAAGAAGCAGAGGUAUCUCAGAGAAAUCUUGCUGAAGUUACUCCACUCAAGCUCUGGUCCAAUGAAAGCAAACUAGACUGCAAGAGGAAGCACAGACAAAGGGGAACCAGACCUACUUUCUCUCUCUGGGUCCAGCAGAAUCUACCAUGAAGCAAAACAACAGCCUGAGUUUGCUUUGGCUCAGAUCAGAGCACUGGAUGCUGACAGCCCUGUUUCUACCCGUGUUUGGUACCUCUGAAUCUUGGGCACUGUGCACACUCUGGUCCUCUUUACUCCAGAUUCAACCUGCUCCUGCCCUCUGCAAGAGCGGGCUGAAGAAGCCUCCCAACAGGCAUUUCAAAGACUAGAAACAUGGACAACACAUACCACUUUCCACAGACUAGAAUCCAUGCCAAGGAGAACUGCAUCUAUUCAGCUGCUCCUCAGUUUAAGGAGAGGAAGAUAAGAAAGAAAAUAGCU
Long non-coding RNA from Manacus vitellinus (golden-collared manakin), 547 nucleotides. RefSeq lists it as uncharacterized. The record is from RefSeq and is a predicted model, not a curated record. Lineage: Eukaryota; Metazoa; Chordata; Aves; Passeriformes; Pipridae. The transcript is spliced from 3 exons.